Long non-coding RNA from Pygoscelis adeliae (Adelie penguin), 642 nucleotides. RefSeq lists it as uncharacterized. The record is from RefSeq and is a predicted model, not a curated record. The transcript is spliced from 2 exons. NCBI's taxonomy places the organism in Eukaryota, Metazoa, Chordata, Aves, Sphenisciformes, Spheniscidae.
GGAAAGGGUAAAAUUUUCCUAUGCUGAUCUUACUCUUUUUUUUUUUAAAGUAUUCAGAUAUUCUUUAAAGGAUACUGGAUUUUUCAAACCUUUUCUCUUAUUGACUGAGCUGCCUCGCCUGUCAUGCCCAUGAGUAUCCAGCUUCCCCCGCCCAAUACCCGUACGUAUGUUCACUCUCCUGGAGCCCUGACAUGGCUGCUGCUGUUCCCCCUAAUGCGGAGCCAGAAUAGAUGAGAAGUUGUGCAGAGAUUGGGCUGAACUGAUGAAACUCGGGGUGUGUGUUUGGAAGAAGACGACAAGCUCUGGUGGGCAAUGACCAUGAAGUUCUCAGUCUUAACUGUGUGCAUCUGUCUUAUCUAAGUUUGAGGCUUCAGAUUGUGCAAAGUACUUUAAAAUCACUCUCUAAAAUGAAUAAAAGUAAUGAACCAUCCUGCACAUUGUUGGGAAAAACAAUGCUGUUGGAGGAGAUCAGGAAAGGUUCCUUUCUGGCAAUUAUUUUUAACAAUGAUGUGAUACAAUUUAGCUGAAAGUUGGGGAACAGCUAGGGGCAAGGGGAGAAACAUCCCUCUCUUUGGUUAACCUUGCUUGGGAAAUGUGAAUCACUGAACUAAAUAAAGUUUGUAAAAGAUGCUUUGAAAAUAC